UGGGGAAGUAUUUGCACAAUGGGGGAAACCCUGAUGCAGCGACGCCGCGUGAGUGAAGAAGUAAUUCGUUAUGUAAAGCUCUAUCAGCAGGGAAGAAAAUGACGGUACCUGAGUAAGAAGCCCCGGCUAACUACGUGCC
Molecule: ribosomal RNA, 139 nt
Filed under: uncultured bacterium
Lineage: Bacteria
Description: partial 16S ribosomal RNA
Rfam family: Bacterial small subunit ribosomal RNA
Source: RNAcentral